This 449-nucleotide ribosomal RNA is filed under the name uncultured bacterium. Its description in RNAcentral is "partial 16S ribosomal RNA". It matches the Rfam family "Bacterial small subunit ribosomal RNA", at positions 29 to 523 of the family's 1533-position model. The record is from RNAcentral.
AACGAACGCUGGCGGCAGGCCUAACACAUGCAAGUCGAACGCUGUAGCAAUACAGAGUGGCAGACGGGUGAGUAACGCGUGGGAACCUUCCCAAUGGUACGGAAUAGCCCAGGGAAACUUGGGGUAAUACCGUAUACGCCCCUAGGGGGCAAGAUUUAUCGCCAUUGGAUGGGCCCGAGACGGAUUAGCUAGUUGGUGAGGUAAGGGCUCCCCAAGGCAACGAGCCGUAGCUGGUUUGAGAGAAUGACCAGCCACACUGGGACUGAGACACGGCCCAGACUCCUACGGGAGGCAGCAGUGGGGAAUCUUGGACAAUGGGCGCAAGCCUGAUCCAGCCAUGCCGCGUGAGUGACGAAGGCCUUAGGGUUGUAAAGCUCUUUUGCCGGGGACGAUAAUGACGGUACCCGGAGAAUAAGUCCCGGCUAACUUCGUGCCAGCAGCCGCCGUAA